UCAUUUAUAAUUUUUUUACAACAAAAUUUUGUUAAUUUUGUUUAGUCUUUUAAAUCACAUCAAUAAUUCUUUAAGCCCUAUUUCAACAUACUGUGUAUUUCAUUAACAUGCUUGAUCAUGGCUCGCAUACGGCGUUGGCCAUUGGCAGGUUGAUGCGAGGUGCUGGUUUGGUGGAGCAACAAUAGGGGGAUGUUUGGUUAGAGG
RNAcentral lists this long non-coding RNA (204 nucleotides) under Elaeis guineensis (African oil palm). RNAcentral's name for it is "long non-coding RNA (EGUI_LNC007137)". The record is from RNAcentral. Lineage: Eukaryota; Viridiplantae; Streptophyta; Magnoliopsida; Arecales; Arecaceae.